CCUACGGGUGGCAGCAGUGAGGAAUAUUUGUCAAUGGGCGCGAGCCUGAACCAGCCAAGUAGCGUGAAGGAUUACUGCCCUACGGGUUGUAAACUUCUUUUAUAAAGGAAUAAAGUGAAGCACGUGUGCCUUUUUGUAUGUACUUUAUGAAUAAGGAUCGGCUAACUCCGUGCCAGCAGCAGGGGGAAUAAGGAGGCUUCAAGAGUUAUCCGGAUUUAUUGGGUUUAAAGGGUGCGUAGGCGGUCGGAUAAGUUAGUGGUGAAAUCCCGUGGCUGAACUUAGGAAUUGCAUCUGAUACUGUUCGGCUAGAGAGUAGUUGAGGUAGGCGGAAUGUAUGGUGUAGCGGUGAAAUGCGUAGAGAUAAUACAGAACACCGAUUGCGAAGGCAGCAUAUCAGGCUACUUCUGACGUUGAGGCACGAAAGCGUGGGGAGCAAACAGGAUUAGAUACCCCGGUAGUC
RNAcentral lists this ribosomal RNA (460 nucleotides) under uncultured bacterium. Its description in RNAcentral is "partial 16S ribosomal RNA". It matches the Rfam family "Bacterial small subunit ribosomal RNA", at positions 338 to 795 of the family's 1533-position model. The record is from RNAcentral.